GGCAAGAAUCCCCAGCGGUCGGGCACUGGGAGGCGAUGCUGAUGUUCUGGAUGGCGUCCGACCUGGGCACCGACUCUUUCAACUUGAUGAGCAUGAGGUCGUUGGCGAUAAAAGACACAUCCUGCGUGGAGAAGAAUGACCGUAGGGUGAGAAGGGAGCAGACACCGACACGAAGGCGGAAGGUGACAGCAGCCCAGGUGGGCGAUGCUGUGGUCCAGGGAGAAGAGGAAUGAAUGGGCGCAGGGCUCAUCCCGGAGUUGGCCGCCAACAUUGACAGAUCAGGAAAUUUCAAGCUUCUCUUGAAAAGUCAAUAUCGUGUCUGCAUUCCCACGGUCAUGAUCCACCAGCAGCAGGUUCUGAGUGGCCACUGUCCUGGGGACAGCUUGCCCGUUUUCUGGCCCACACCCGGCGGUUUCCUUCAUUUUCGUUACCUGCCUGGCCCCAGGAAGCAGCAGAGUCCGUGACCCCAGUGGAGGAAAAAAGUGGACACAAAUACAGAAAGACUCAGGCACAAAGAGACAAGAGAUAAAGUAAACCAGAAAAAAACAAAAACAAAAACAACAAUAAUCGUCAUACACUGUCACAGAGCACCUACAUAUAAACUUACAUAUAGGCUAUACAAACAGUACUUAUUUUGUUCCAGGCACUUCUCCAGGUUCUUCACAAACGUUAACUGGCUCAAUCUCCUCAAUAUCCUAUGAAAUCGGAUCUAUUAUCCCCCCUCCCCCCACUGUACAGAUGAAAAAUGAGGCACGGAGAAGCUAAGAGCUGUUUACCUGUCGACCAAGUUGCUAACGUGGUAGAACUGAGAUCUGAACCCUCAUCCCCACAUCACCCACCCUGUGUGAGCCUAACCACUAGGCAACACUGCCCCCUUGUGGAUUUGGAGGCACACAGGGAAAGAAUAAGAGGUUGAAGGGGUGAGGCACAAAGGAAGGAUUCCCAAGUUCUCCUGGGUGGGGGACUGUGGGUCUCAGCACCCAGUUCUGGUGCUAGAUGGGGACAGAGGUGCAAGCAAACUCCUUGCAGACAGGGGGAGGGAGCCACCUGAACCUUGCCCUUGGCGAGCUCAAGUCCUGAUCUUGAUUGAUCUUGGGUCUCUCAGGUUCUACAGGGAAAGGCAGGGAGUGUGGCCUGUGGAGUCAGACCCGCUCCAGUGAGACCCUGGGCAAGAGACUAAGUAUUUCUUUUUUUUUUUUUUUUAAAUUUUUUUUUAACGUUUAUUUAUUUUUGAGACAGAGAGAGACAGAGCAAGAACA
This is a long non-coding RNA of Herpailurus yagouaroundi (jaguarundi), 1259 nucleotides long. RefSeq lists it as uncharacterized. The record is from RefSeq and is a predicted model, not a curated record. The transcript has 3 exons. Lineage: Eukaryota; Metazoa; Chordata; Mammalia; Carnivora; Felidae.